This 611-nucleotide ribosomal RNA is filed under the name uncultured bacterium. RNAcentral's name for it is "bacterial SSU rRNA". It matches the Rfam family "Bacterial small subunit ribosomal RNA", at positions 338 to 951 of the family's 1533-position model. The record is from RNAcentral.
CCUACGGGAGGCAGCAGUAAGGAAUAUUGGUCAAUGGACGAAAGUCUGAACCAGCCAUGCCGCGUGAAGGAUGAAGGUCCUCUGGAUUGUAAACUUCUUUUAUCUGGGACGAAAAAAGGGCUUUCUAGCUCACUUGACGGUACCAGAGGAAUAAGCACCGGCUAACUCCGUGCCAGCAGCCGCGGUAAUACGGAGGGUGCAAGCGUUAUCCGGAUUUACUGGGUUUAAAGGGAGCGUAGGUGGGCAGGUAAGUCAGUGGUGAAAUCUCUGGGCUUAACCCGGAAACUGCCAUUGAUACUAUCUGUCUUGAAUAUCCUGGAGGUAAGCGGAAUAUGUCAUGUAGCGGUGAAAUGCUUAGAUAUGACAUAGAACACCCAUUGCGAAGGCAGCUUACUACGGGAUUAUUGACACUGAGGCUCGAAAGCGUGGGGAUCAAACAGGAUUAGAUACCCUGGUAGUCCACGCCCUAAACGAUGGAUACUCGACAUCAGCGAUACACUGUUGGUGUCUGAGCGAAAGCAUUAAGUAUCCCACCUGGGAAGUACGACCGCAAGGUUGAAACUUAAAGGAAUUGACGGCUGAGAGAGACGAGACGACGACGAGGGAGGAGG